Molecule: microRNA precursor, 195 nt
Organism: Oryza sativa Japonica Group (Japanese rice)
Lineage: Eukaryota; Viridiplantae; Streptophyta; Magnoliopsida; Poales; Poaceae
Rfam family: MIR812 microRNA precursor family
Source: Rfam
UUUAAGGCCAGAUGUAGAUUUCUGUGUCUACUAUUUCACCGUUCGUCUUAUUUAAUUUAUUUUAUAGUUAUUAUUUUAUUUGUUAUUAAAUGAUAAAAUAUGUAUAAUACUUUAUGCGUGACUUAUUUUUUAAAAAAAAUUUAAAUAAGAUGAACGAUCAAAUAUUGGACACAGAAACUCACAACUACACUUAAA